RNAcentral lists this ribosomal RNA (448 nucleotides) under uncultured bacterium. RNAcentral describes it as "bacterial SSU rRNA". It matches the Rfam family "Bacterial small subunit ribosomal RNA", at positions 329 to 794 of the family's 1533-position model. The record is from RNAcentral.
CCCCAGACUCCUACGGGAGGCAGCAGUGGGGAAUAUUGCACAAUGGGGGAAACCCUGAUGCAGCGACGCCGCGUGAGUGAAGAAGUAUUUCGGUAUGUAAAGCUCUAUCAGCAGGGAAGAAAAUGACGGUACCUGACUAAGAAGCCCCGGCUAACUACGUGCCAGCAGCCGCGGUAAUACGUAGGGGGCAAGCGUUAUCCGGAUUUACUGGGUGUAAAGGGAGCGUAGACGGCAUGGCAAGUCAGAUGUGAAAGCCCGGGGCUCAACCCCGGGACUGCAUUUGAAACUGUCAGGCUGGAGUGCAGGAGAGGUAAGUGGAAUUCCUAGUGUAGCGGUGAAAUGCGUAGAUAUUAGGAGGAACACCAGUGGCGAAGGCGGCUUACUGGACUGUAACUGACGUUGAGGCUCGAAAGCGUGGGGAGCAAACAGGAUUAGAUACCCCGGUACA